UCGACGCCCGUGAGUCUCUCUGCGCUUUAACUUGUGGUGCUGUACCAACACCAGAACGCGAGUUGAGCUGUUAAAUCAACGCCGCUGCUGGUCUGUGUGGUGAAACUCUAACGUCGUUUCUCUCUAUAUGAUGUUCUGAAAAGGCGUUGUAUUCUAUUCAUUCGAACUUCGAAUAGUUCACGGUGAGACUAGAACGGAGGAACAUAAUACUGUAGGUGCAGCACUACUAUUUAAAGUGGCGCCGAUGACACCAAUCGUGAAUAUUGUUCUACUCAAUUAACGGAAUAUCCUUACCCCUACCCAUAACUCCGCGCAAUCAGUCUUUCUGAGGCAUAUCAUUAUGACUCUGUAUACACAGAGCCUGGUCCCUGGCCUGGCCUACAUUCUAGCAGGGUACAGGAGAGCUGCUAUGGAGGGAGUCGCUAUGGAGUAGAAUUAGGCUGAAACAGGAGAAGGAAAUCACUUCUUAACAGGAAGAGCGACACAUGGACCACAACAACAGAAUGACAAGUGUUGAACAUCUGUCUCAGUUCAUUUAUUAAUAAAGUCUGGAGCCAGAAAUAACAACAAUCACAUAGCAGCCCAAACGCCACACCAUAUUUUCUCCAUUAUGAAAACAGACCUGAGUUCAGUUCUUAUCUGUUAUAAUCACAUAGCAGCCCAAAUGCCACACCAUAUUUUCUCCAUUAUGAAAACAGACCUGAGUUCAGUUCUUAUCUGUUAUAAUCAAAUAGCAGCCCAAAUGCAUCACUAUAUUUUCUCCAUUAUGAAGACCUGAAUUCAGUUCUUAUCUGUUAUUCUUGUCGGCCUUUCUUCCUCUCCCUUGACGCUGACUGUGCAGGGGUGUGUGUGCGUGCCUGUGUGUGUGUGUGCAUCCUUGCAUGUGCGUGUUCAUGUCUGUACGUGUGUACGUGCUUGUGUAUGUAUGUCCCUACUAAUCCCAGUCACCUUAUUAUGAGAAGCAGAUGUUUUGUUGCUCAUUUAGAAGGAGAAUUAAAUUAUUAUAAUGUUGAAGCAUGGUUCCUUUCCUCCUCUGAGUAUUGUUCCCUAUGGAGGUUUACUGUACUCUACUAAACUCUGGGUUAGAUCCUGUUUGGCCACGUGUUCCCUAUGGAGGUUUACUGUACUCUACUAAACUCUGGGUUAGAUCCUGUUUGGCCACGUGUUCCCUAUGGAGGUUUACUGUACUCUACUAAACUCUGGGUUAGAUCCUGUUUGGCCGGGUGUUCCCUAUGCAGGUUUACUGUACUCUACUAAACUCUGGGUUAGAUCCUGUUUGGCCACGUGUUCCCUAUGGAGGUUUCCUGUACUCUACUAAACUCUGGGUUAGAUCCUGUUUGGCCACGUGUUCCCUAUGGAAGUUUACUGUACUCUACUAACUCUGGGUUAGAUCCUGUUUGGCCGGGUGUUCCCUAUGGAGGUUUACUGUACUCUACUAAACUCUGGGUUAGAUCCUGUUUGGCCACGUGUUCCCUAUGGAGGUUUACUGUACUCUACUAAACUCUGGGUUAGAUCCUGUUUGGCCACGUGUUCCCUAUGGAGGUUUCCUGUACUCUACUAAACUCUGGGUUAGAUCCUGUUUGGCCGGGUGUUCCCUAUGGAGCUUCACUGUACUCUACUAAACUCUGGGUUAGAUCCUGUUUGGCCGGGUGUUCCCUAUGGAGCUUCACUGUACUCUACUAAACUCUGGGUUAGAUCCUGUUUGGCCGGGUGUUCCCUAUGGAGCUUCACUGUACUCUACUAAACUCUGGGUUAGAUCCUGUUUGGCCACGUGUUCCCUAUGGAGGUUUCAUGUACUCUACUAAACUCUGGGUUAGAUCCUGUUUGGCCGGGUGUUCCCUAUGGAGCUUCACUGUACUCUACUAAACUCUGGGUUAGAUCCUGUUUGGCCAGGUGUUCCCUAUGGAGAUUUACUGUA
Molecule: long non-coding RNA, 1918 nt
Organism: Oncorhynchus nerka (sockeye salmon)
Lineage: Eukaryota; Metazoa; Chordata; Actinopteri; Salmoniformes; Salmonidae
Exons: 3
Source: RefSeq, a predicted model, not a curated record